AUUGAACGCUGGCGGCAGGCUUAACACAUGCAAGUCGAGCGGGGGAAGGUAGCUUGCUACUGGACCUAGCGGCGGACGGGUGAGUAAUGCUUAGGAAUCUGCCUAUUAGUGGGGGACAACAUCUCGAAAGGGAUGCUAAUACCGCAUACGUCCUACGGGAGAAAGCAGGGGAUCUUCGGACCUUGCGCUAAUAGAUGAGCCUAAGUCGGAUUAGCUAGUUGGUGGGGUAAAGGCCUACCAAGGCGACGAUCUGUAGCGGGUCCGAGAGGAUGACCCGCCACACUGGGACUGAGACACGGCCCAGACUCCUACGGGAGGCAGCAGUGGGGAAUAUUGGACAAUGGGGGGAACCCUGAUCCAGCCAUGCCGCGUGUGUGAAGAAGGCCUUAUGGUUGUAAAGCACUUUAAGCGAGGAGGAGGCUACUUUAGUUAAUACCUAGAGAUAGUGGACGUUACUCGCAGAAUAAGCACCGGCUAACUCUGUGCCAGCCGCCGCGGUAA
Molecule: ribosomal RNA, 501 nt
Filed under: uncultured bacterium
Lineage: Bacteria
Description: partial 16S ribosomal RNA
Rfam family: Bacterial small subunit ribosomal RNA
Source: RNAcentral